Molecule: long non-coding RNA, 1575 nt
Organism: Raphanus sativus (radish)
Lineage: Eukaryota; Viridiplantae; Streptophyta; Magnoliopsida; Brassicales; Brassicaceae
Exons: 2
Source: RefSeq, a predicted model, not a curated record
UAGAAAACCUAAUUAAACCUAAGACGACCCGAUUUGUGAUUAUAAACCAUAAUUUAACUAACCCGGUUUAAAUUAAGCAGAAAAAAAUCCCAAUUCUCUCUAUCGCUCGCAAGUAUCGUGAACCCUAGGCAAGACCGAAACUUUGAAUCGAUUUCGUCGUCUGUUCUUCUUCCUUUUCAAAAUGUCUCAGGAAGGAUGGACUGAUGUGAAUAUUGAGUGGAAUAGUGUCCCUGAAUUUGACCAGAGUUAUGAUUCUGAUGGUGAAAACCGACGUGAGCGUAACGACUUCAACAUUGAGAAAGAUGUUUCUGAAUUUGCUGCUCAAGUCUUUCAGUCCUCAUCCCCAAUAUUUCUAUCUCAUCCGCCAAAGCCUCAUCAACCCAUUUGUAUGAGUGGUUAUCAUUGCUAAGCUACACAUACAAAGCAACAUCAUUUCUUCAAAUCUAUGCUAUAUGAACAUCGAAUCUCAGAUUCAUCACACUUACCUUUCGUUCCACCGCAUAUGCACAACGGUAAUAUCGCUGAUAGGGAUUAGCUUCAGACUUGGACAUUCUUGCGACCUCGAUUUCGCCACACCAGCAUUUCUUCGGCACACGAACUACUUGUCUUCUUCUUCGAACACCUGAUGUCUCUGUCGAAGCUCCACUGUCAUUGCUCAUCUUCAAUUAUCACCAGUUAAAGGAAAGAGCUUUUGGGUUCGUUGUUUUUAGGGUUCGUAUAAUUGGGAGUCUUUAAGAACUGGUUUUGAACCGGGUUGAUAUAUUGGAUCUCUGGUCGGGUUAUUUUCGGUCUUCCGGUUUGGUUACCUCUUACGAACCACUAAAUUGAUGAAUAACCGAAGCCAUGUAGGUUCGGGUUUCGAACUUUCAGUUUGGGGGGAAAUAGGUUGUCAAACUUUGAAUAUGGGCAAUUAGGACGAGGUCGAAAGAUGGUGUGGAACUGUUACUAUAUAAUACUUCUCGUGUGGAAAUAGGUCGUUUUCCCUGCAAGCACCUAUAGCCUUUUAAACUGUGUUGUGUAUCUAAGAAACUAUAAUUAAACGGCCUAAAAUAGAGGAGGUUUCGGUUUGAAAGAGUCGUGUGUAGCUUUCUGCGUCAAUUUCUGUUAAUAAAAAAGUCCUAGUCUAGUGGAAGUCAACUUCUAUUUAUGUGUAGCUUUUGUAGGAUUUCUGUUUUCGUAAGGCUUAUAUAAACCAUUCUCACAGUUUUCAUUCUCCAGGUAACGAAAGGGCUUACUUGCAACACUGCAAGGAUCUUUGAUCGAAAACAUGGAUACCUAAGACUUCAGAAGAUUCUCAAGGUUAGUUCUUUCAAAUUAUAAAUUUUUAUGAUUUUUUUUUUUAAAAUUGAUGUUAAAAAAAUUAGUACAAAUGUUUAUGAAUCGAAUAACCCCUUGUUAGCAUUUAGGAAGAGUAUUUGGUUUUUUUUUUUUUUUGGCAUCGAGUAUUUCGAUUCAUGAUUUGAAUGCCUAACAAAAAUCCAUGUGUUAGUUCUAAAACAUUUGCUAUGCCUUGUAUUUUGUUUCUGAGACAUCCAACUUCAGUGAAAUAUUAAAAAAUUAAGUGAAUAACACUAA